GGAUGAACAGAGGAAUUGGCGCCUGGGCCGUUUUACUGGGCCCACCAGCUGCCUCAAGUGUCCGCUGGCUGGCCACAGGCAUGAAUUCUGUUUGGGGCAUGAAGGCUAAACCAGGCAGCCUGUCCCCAGGAUGCUCUGCCCUAAUGGAGGAGAAAAGCAGCCCACCUGUGGGUCAUCACAAAACCGCAAGAGAAAUGCCUGCGGGGGAGGGUCCAGGGAGGGGAGGGCGUCACUAAACUGUCUUUGUCAGGGCCACCAAUGCCCUCCGUCUCACCCACAACAAAGGGCAUCUUUCAGGAUUUGUUUCACGGCUCCUCUCAGGAGUGCUGGGCAUGGCGGCCCAUCCUGUCUUCCUGAGAACACCACUGGGCUCUCCCUCCUUCCGGGGACUCCUCCCCCUCCAGACAGAAACCAGUUCUCAGAGGUGAUGAGUUCAUGUCCGGACGUGAUGCUGUGUGCUUCGUGUGUCACUACCUCUCAUGAGGCUAAGCUGGGCCAGCAGGCUCAGGCGGUGACAGCCCUGUCCUUCCAUUGUGGAAGUCUGCGGAGAGGAAGUCGCCGCCAAAGUGCACGCAGUGACAGGGGCACCUCCAGAGGACCCUUCUCCAGAGACUGCAGGGUGC
Hipposideros armiger (great roundleaf bat) is the source of this 623-nucleotide long non-coding RNA. RefSeq lists it as uncharacterized. NCBI's taxonomy places the organism in Eukaryota, Metazoa, Chordata, Mammalia, Chiroptera, Hipposideridae. The record is from RefSeq and is a predicted model, not a curated record. The transcript is spliced from 3 exons.